GAGUUUGAUCAUGGCUCAGAAUGAACGUUGGCGGCGUGCCGAACACAGCAAGUCGAGCGAGAAAGCUCUUUCGGGAGUGAGUACAGCGGCGAACGGUUGAGUAACACGUGAGAAUCUGCCCUUCAGUGAAGAAUACCUUUGAGAAAUCGAAGUUAAUGCUGCAUAAUCCCCCUUGGGGGCAAAGGUGGCCUCUUUGCUACCGCUGAAGGAUGAGCUUGCGGCCUAUCAGCUUGUUGGUGAGGUAAAAGCUUACCAAGGCUAUGACGGGUAGCCGGCCUGAGAGGGUGGUCGGCCAGACUGGAACUUAGACACGGUCCAGACUCCUACGGGAGGCAGCAGUGGGGAAUCUUGCGCAAUGGGCGAAAGCCUGACGCAGCGACGCCGCGUGGAGGAUGAAGGUCUUCGGAUUGUAAACUUCUGUUAAGUGGGAAGAAAUAGUCAUGUCUAAUAAACAUGAAAGAUGACGGUACCAACCAAGGAAGCCCCGGCUAACUCCGUGCCAGCAGCCGCGGUAAUAC
This 518-nucleotide ribosomal RNA is filed under the name uncultured bacterium. RNAcentral describes it as "bacterial SSU rRNA". It matches the Rfam family "Bacterial small subunit ribosomal RNA", at positions 9 to 526 of the family's 1533-position model. The record is from RNAcentral.